Armigeres subalbatus is the source of this 744-nucleotide long non-coding RNA. RefSeq lists it as uncharacterized. The record is from RefSeq and is a predicted model, not a curated record. The transcript has 2 exons. Lineage: Eukaryota; Metazoa; Arthropoda; Insecta; Diptera; Culicidae.
UGUGCCGAAAUGUGCCGAGAAAAAAAACAUUUUUUUGGCCACACUGGUCAUGAUUAGCUAUUUGGCAUCACGGGGAAAACGUUUACGUCUUGUGAAAAAAAAAAACAAAAAUAAAUAACGCUUCGAACGGCAGCAUUUUUUGCAGGUAAAUUUAUUCCGUUUGAUAUCGCAGUCAUCUCCGGAGACCUCAGUGGAUAUAACACGCAGGAAGACAUAUUUAAAUAUGUUUAAAGUUACGCUACCCGUGCGUCGCUUACGCCACCCACAACGGAAACUCAUCAUAGGACUAUCACUGCCAUCGGGACUGGCUGGUAUCACCACAAGUGACCGGCAUAGUACUAGUUCCACAACAUAACGUCCCGAAUAUCUGGGAAAACCUCCAGCCAGUCAGCAGUCGCACGAGAUCGGACCAUCAUUCAACUACUAUUUUUGAACGUGCUUCGGAACGAUGUCGACUUUGCCGAACCUUUUGUCGCAAUGGAUCGAUAGCAUGCUCAACCUGAAUAGUUUCUUCAUCAGAUGGCCGUUCCAAAAGUACUUUUCAACAACAUCGGAAGGACAUCUCAAAGUGGCUGAGGACCCGGCGGCAAACAACUGAAAACAGUAACAAUGUGAACCUGCUAGCUGGUAACAAUCGACGUUGUCAUCAUUCUUUACAGAAAUAAGAAUUUUAUGAGAAAAAUUAUGAAUAACUUUAUAUUUGUAUAUUUUAAUGCAUAAACGAAUAAAACUGGGUUUAGAGAA